UCUGGCUCAGGACGAACGCUGGCGGCGUGCCUAAUACAUGCAAGUCGAGCGGACAGAUGGGAGCUUGCUCCCUGAUGUUAGCGGCGGACGGGUGAGUAACACGUGGGUAACCUGCCUGUAAGACUGGGAUAACUCCGGGAAACCGGGGCUAAUACCGGAUGGUUGUUUGAACCGCAUGGUUCAAACAUAAAAGGUGGCUUCGGCUACCACUUACAGAUGGACCCGCGGCGCAUUAGCUAGUUGGUGAGGUAACGGCUCACCAAGGCAACGAUGCGUAGCCGACCUGAGAGGGUGAUCGGCCACACUGGGACUGAGACACGGCCCAGACUCCUACGGGAGGCAGCAGUAGGGAAUCUUCCGCAAUGGACGAAAGUCUGACGGAGCAACGCCGCGUGAGUGAUGAAGGUUUUCGGAUCGUAAAGCUCUGUUGUUAGGGAAGAACAAGUACCGUUCGAAUAGGGCGGUACCUUGACGGUACCUAACCAGAAAGCCACGGCUAACUACGUGCCAGCAGCCGCGGUAAUACGUAGGUGGCAAGCGUUGUCCGGAAUUAUUGGGCGUAAAGGGCUCGCAGGCGGUUUCUUAAGUCUGAUGUGAAAGCCCCCGGCUCAACCGGGGAGGGUCAUUGGAAACUGGGGAACUUGAGUGCAGAAGAGGAGAGUGGAAUUCCACGUGUAGCGGUGAAAUGCGUAGAGAUGUGGAGGAACACCAGUGGCGAAGGCGACUCUCUGGUCUGUAACUGACGCUGAGGAGCGAAAGCGUGGGGAGCGAACAGGAUUAGAUACCCUGGUAGUCCACGCCGUAAACGAUGAGUGCUAAGUGUUAGGGGGUUUCCGCCCCUUAGUGCUGCAGCUAACGCAUUAAGCACUCCCGACCUG
This 878-nucleotide ribosomal RNA is filed under the name Bacillus subtilis. RNAcentral's name for it is "bacterial SSU rRNA". It matches the Rfam family "Bacterial small subunit ribosomal RNA", at positions 18 to 875 of the family's 1533-position model. Lineage: Bacteria; Bacillati; Bacillota; Bacilli; Caryophanales; Bacillaceae. The record is from RNAcentral.